This is a long non-coding RNA of Ictalurus furcatus (blue catfish), 895 nucleotides long. RefSeq lists it as uncharacterized. The record is from RefSeq and is a predicted model, not a curated record. Lineage: Eukaryota; Metazoa; Chordata; Actinopteri; Siluriformes; Ictaluridae. The transcript has 3 exons.
AUACGAGCUCUACGGCGUAGAAAUGUGUCAAACGAGUGUUUGCGGUAUGUGUCUGACAAUCACGGUUUAUAUCAAGGAGUUCUGAUACGUUAUCGUUUCCAUGGUAACAACAUACGCAGGGAGUUGUACGGUGAACAAGCUGCAUCUCAUAGACACGUUAAGAGGCGAAUUCUUAUUUAUAAUCGUUGCUUUGGUUGGUGAAGUUUUGUGUCAAGAGACGUCUAUGUAACGUUUACGGAAGGAGUCUCCAGUGUCAGCGCUUUGCAACAGUCAGAGUAUCAAGAUGGUGUUCAGACUACAUCCAACACAGACCACAUUGCCAUUUACAAACAGGCUUAGUUUGUUAUCGGUGUACCAUACACGUCUUCCAAUCGUGCCCAAGAGAUAUUGCGUAGAGGCAUCAUCCCGUGAGAAAAGCGGUGGACGAACAGUGUCUCUAGGAGUCUCUUGACGUAGUGGAAGGAGUGGCACAUACAAGCCAAGCUACAGCACAGGAGAACUGCAUUACCCAUCAGCCCUUUAGCUUUUAAAAUUUCAUUACAGUGAUGGAUAGUUGAGUACACACACACACACACACACACACACACACACACACACACACACACACACACAAGGUAUGUCUCUGUAUCAGUAAAAAUCUAAACUGAAGACUUAAAAAAGUUUAGAAUGAUAAGUCCCUGGUUUGAACACAAGGUGUCGCCAUCAAAUAAAUAAAUAAAUAAAUAAAUAAAUAAAUAAAUAGGAGCUCCUCAUUUUGAAAAGUAACAGUUCAGUAUCAACCAUUUACAAAACAAACUUCUUGUUUGUUUAUUUAUCAUUUUAUUAGCAAAAUUCCUAAUGUGUGAGGAAAAAUAGUCUUAACCAGCAGUAUUGUGUAUUGUUUCACUUUAUUUUA